RNAcentral lists this ribosomal RNA (230 nucleotides) under uncultured bacterium. RNAcentral's name for it is "partial 16S ribosomal RNA". It matches the Rfam family "Bacterial small subunit ribosomal RNA", at positions 118 to 347 of the family's 1533-position model. The record is from RNAcentral.
UGAGUAACCUGCCCUGGACUUUGGGAUAACCCUCGGAAACGGGGGCUAAUACCGGAUAUGACGGCUCACCGCAUGGUGUGGUUGUGGAAAGUUUUUCGGUAUAGGAUGGGCUCGCGGCCUAUCAGCUUGUUGGUGGGGUGAUGGCCUACCAAGGCGACGACGGGUAGCCGGCCUGAGAGGGCGACCGGCCACACUGGGACUGAGAUACGGCCCAGACUCCUACGGGAGCA